Molecule: ribosomal RNA, 396 nt
Filed under: uncultured bacterium
Lineage: Bacteria
Description: partial 16S ribosomal RNA
Rfam family: Bacterial small subunit ribosomal RNA
Source: RNAcentral
AUACGUAGGGAGCGAGCGUUGUCCGGAAUUACUGGGUGUAAAGGGAGCGUAGGCGGGAGUGCAAGUCAGAUGUGAAAUCUCCGGGCUCAACCCGGAAAUUGCAUUUGAAACUGCAGGUCUUGAGUAUCGGAGAGGCAAGCGGAAUUUCUCGUGUAGCGGUGAAAUGCGUAGAUAUUAGGAGGAACACCAGUGGCGAAGGCGGCUUGCUGGACGACAACUGACGCUGAGGCGCGAAAGCGUGGGGAGCAAACAGGAUUAGAUACCCUGGUAGUCCACGCCCUAAACGAUGAAUACUAGGUGUGGGGGGACUGACCCCCUCCGUGCCGGAGUAAACACAAUAAGUAUUCCACCUGGGGAGUACGACCGCAAGGUUGAAACUCAAAGGAAUUGACGGGG